CCUACGGGAGGCAGCAGUGGGGAAUAUUGGACAAUGGGCGAAAGCCUGAUCCAGCAAUGCCGCGUGAGUGAUGAAGGCCUUCGGGUCGUAAAGCUCUUUUACCAGGGAUGAUAAUGACAGUACCUGGAGAAUAAGCUCCGGCUAACUCCGUGCCAGCAGCCGCGGUAAUACGGAGGGAGCUAGCGUUGUUCGGAAUUACUGGGCGUAAAGAGUACGUAGGCGGUUAUUCAAGUCAGAGGUGAAAGCCCGGGGCUCAACCCCGGAACUGCCUUUGAAACUAGAUAACUAGAGUCUUGGAGAGGUUAGUGGAAUUCCGAGUGUAGAGGUGAAAUUCGUAGAUAUUCGGAAGAACACCAGUGGCGAAGGCGACUAACUGGACAAGUACUGACGCUGAGGUACGAAAGCGUGGGGAGCAAACAGGAUUAGAUACCCUGGUAGUCCACGCCGUAAACGAUGAUAACUAGUUGUUCGGUCACUUGGUGACUGAGUGACGCAGCUAACGCAUUAAGUUAUCCGCCUGGGGAGUACGGUCGCAAGAUUAAAACUCAAAGGAAUUGACCGGNUGAAGAGUGCGAGACGACGACGAGGAGAGG
This 593-nucleotide ribosomal RNA is filed under the name uncultured bacterium. RNAcentral's name for it is "bacterial SSU rRNA". It matches the Rfam family "Bacterial small subunit ribosomal RNA", at positions 338 to 961 of the family's 1533-position model. The record is from RNAcentral.